CUGUCACUCCUACGGGAGGCAGCAGUGGGGAAUAUUGCACAAUGGGCGCAAGCCUGAUGCAGCCAUGCCGCGUGUGUGAAGAAGGCCUUCGGGUUGUAAAGCACUUUCAGUCGUGAGGAAGGUGGUAGUGUUAAUAGCACUAUCAUUUGACGUUAGCGACAGAAGAAGCACCGGCUAACUCUGUGCCAGCAGCCGCGGUAAUACAGAGGGUGCGAGCGUUAAUCGGAUUUACUGGGCGUAAAGCGUGCGUAGGCGGCCAUUUAAGUCAAAUGUGAAAUCCCCGAGCUUAACUUGGGAAUUGCAUUCGAUACUGGAUGGCUAGAGUAUGGGAGAGGAUGGUAGAAUUCCAGGUGUAGCGGUGAAAUGCGUAGAGAUCUGGAGGAAUACCGAUGGCGAAGGCAGCCAUCUGGCCUAAUACUGACGCUGAGGUACGAAAGCAUGGGGAGCAAACAGGAUUAGAUACCCUGGUAG
RNAcentral lists this ribosomal RNA (471 nucleotides) under uncultured bacterium. RNAcentral describes it as "bacterial SSU rRNA". It matches the Rfam family "Bacterial small subunit ribosomal RNA", at positions 330 to 793 of the family's 1533-position model. The record is from RNAcentral.